This 201-nucleotide ribosomal RNA is filed under the name uncultured Morganella sp. Its description in RNAcentral is "partial 16S ribosomal RNA". It matches the Rfam family "Bacterial small subunit ribosomal RNA", at positions 340 to 528 of the family's 1533-position model. The record is from RNAcentral. Lineage: Bacteria; Pseudomonadati; Pseudomonadota; Gammaproteobacteria; Enterobacterales; Morganellaceae.
UACGGGGAGGCAGCAGUGGGGAAUAUUGCACAAUGGGCGCAAGCCUGAUGCAGCCAUGCCGCGUGUAUGAAGAAGGCCUUCCGGGUUGUAAAGUACUUUUCAGUCGGGAGGAAGGUGUCAAGGUUAAUAACCUUGGCAAUUGACGUUACCGACAGAAGAAGCACCGGCUAACUCCGUGCCAGCAGCCCGCAGUAAUAACGA